UAAGUGAUUGAUCGAUCGUGGAU
RNAcentral lists this microRNA (23 nucleotides) under Apis mellifera (honey bee). RNAcentral's name for it is "ame-miR-3781-3p". Lineage: Eukaryota; Metazoa; Arthropoda; Insecta; Hymenoptera; Apidae. The record is from miRBase by way of RNAcentral.